CUUCACGGCACGGCGGCUCUGGUCUCUUUAGCACCACGAUGGAGCUGUGGAGGGGGCUGGGUACCCGGCGGGAGACCACGCUCAACGUCCUGCAGAUGCUCAUGACCAUCCUGGAGGAGCCCCGCCGGGAGGAGGCCGAGAUCUCCAUUCAGCCCGUGGCGGUGACGUGUGCCCUGUGUGAGAUGCUGUCGGGCCCCGAGUGUCAGGCGGCCGUACAGGAGCUUUAUCCCCGGCUUCUCCUGGCUGUGCUCAACCACCUGAACCAGGUCAUCCAGCAGGACGUCCCCCCGUGCAUGGUCGUAUACCGCCAAGGAAGGGCUCUCUGGGGGCCAGGGCAAGGUCUAUGACCCCGCCAGCUGUGCCUUGGAGGUCCUGAGAACGCUACUCCUGGCUGCAGAGUACCUGGGAGUGAUUGCUCACGUUGAUCAACAUCGGGGUUGGGACCUGCUGUCCAGCCCCAGGGACUUCUAUCUAGGGGUCAUAGAGUUGACGAGUGGCAUGGUGAAGAGCUGUGCCCCGCGCAUCCUGCUCCGCAUCCUGAACCAGAUCCGCCCGCUCCUCAACAGCCAGAAUGAGCAGAAG
This is a long non-coding RNA of Ornithorhynchus anatinus (platypus), 582 nucleotides long. RefSeq lists it as uncharacterized. The record is from RefSeq and is a predicted model, not a curated record. NCBI's taxonomy places the organism in Eukaryota, Metazoa, Chordata, Mammalia, Monotremata, Ornithorhynchidae. The transcript has 4 exons.